RNAcentral lists this ribosomal RNA (663 nucleotides) under uncultured Bacillus sp. RNAcentral describes it as "bacterial SSU rRNA". It matches the Rfam family "Bacterial small subunit ribosomal RNA", at positions 416 to 1068 of the family's 1533-position model. The record is from RNAcentral. Lineage: Bacteria; Bacillati; Bacillota; Bacilli; Caryophanales; Bacillaceae.
CUUCGGAUCGUAAAACUCUGUUGUUAGGGAAGAACAAGUACCGGAGUAACUGCCGGUACCUUGACGGUACCUAACCAGAAAGCCACGGCUAACUACGUGCCAGCAGCCGCGGUAAUACGUAGGUGGCAAGCGUUGUCCGGAAUUAUUGGGCGUAAAGCGCGCGCAGGCGGUCCUUUAAGUCUGAUGUGAAAGCCCACGGCUCAACCGUGGAGGGUCAUUGGAAACUGGGGGACUUGAGUGCAGAAGAGGAGAGUGGAAUUCCACGUGUAGCGGUGAAAUGCGUAGAGAUGUGGAGGAACACCAGUGGCGAAGGCGACUCUCUGGUCUGUAACUGACGCUGAGGCGCGAAAGCGUGGGGAGCGAACAGGAUUAGAUACCCUGGUAGUCCACGCCGUAAACGAUGAGUGCUAAGUGUUAGAGGGUUUCCGCCCUUUAGUGCUGCAGCAAACGCAUUAAGCACUCCGCCUGGGGAGUACGGUCGCAAGACUGAAACUCAAAGGAAUUGACGGGGGCCCGCACAAGCGGUGGAGCAUGUGGUUUAAUUCGAAGCAACGCGAAGAACCUUACCAGGUCUUGACAUCCUCUGACACUCCUAGAGAUAGGAAUUUCCCCUUCGGGGGACAGAGUGACAGGUGGUGCAUGGUUGUCGUCAGCUCGUGUCGU